RNAcentral lists this ribosomal RNA (254 nucleotides) under uncultured bacterium. Its description in RNAcentral is "partial 16S ribosomal RNA". It matches the Rfam family "Bacterial small subunit ribosomal RNA", at positions 524 to 776 of the family's 1533-position model. The record is from RNAcentral.
UACGUAGGGGGCAAGCGUUAUCCGGAUUUAUUGGGCGUAAAGCGCGCGCAGGCGGCACGCAGUAGUGGCUCGUGGAAUCUCCGCGCUCACCGCGGAGGGGUCGGGCCAGACGGGCGUGCUCGGGUCGGGGAGAGGGUCGCGGAACGGGCGGAGUAGGGGUGAAAUCCGUAGAGACCGUCCGGAACACCAGUGGCGCAGGCGGCGACCUGGCCCUGUACCGACGCUCAGGCGCGAAAGCACGGGGAGCGAACGGA